UUGGCCCUGGAUCCAGGCCGGCAGCUGGAUGGAGCUGUUGGGUUUCAAGCUGGAACCUAAAGAAAUGUCUUCCUCUGGUCAGUCGGCCCCUUCAGAACUUUGGAAAGUUAUGGUCAGUUCAUUAGAAAGAAGCAUCA
This 137-nucleotide small nucleolar RNA is filed under the name Dasypus novemcinctus (nine-banded armadillo). The record is from RNAcentral. Lineage: Eukaryota; Metazoa; Chordata; Mammalia; Cingulata; Dasypodidae.